This 321-nucleotide ribosomal RNA is filed under the name Lebertia trifurcilla. RNAcentral describes it as "eukaryotic LSU rRNA". It matches the Rfam family "Eukaryotic large subunit ribosomal RNA", at positions 668 to 964 of the family's 3401-position model. Lineage: Eukaryota; Metazoa; Arthropoda; Arachnida; Trombidiformes; Lebertiidae. The record is from RNAcentral.
UCGGAAGGAACCAGCUACUAUGCGAGUCACUCAGUCUUGCAUAGGCUCGAGAGGCGAAAUAAACAUGAUGGUAUGAUCCUUGUUGCUCUCUUCGGAGGCACGGGCGCAAUACCGACCUGCUUCGUCUGCCUUUAUUGACAGUGAAGCGGAGUCUGAGCAUAAUUGCUGGUACCCGAAAGAUGGUGAACUAUACUUGGGCAAGACGAAGCCAGAGGAAACUCUGGUGGAGGUCUGUAGCGAUUCUGACGUGCAAAUCGAUCGUCAGACCUGAGUAUAGGGGCGAAAGACUAAUCGAACCAUCUAGUAGCUGGUUCCUUCCGA